UGGUGUGAAACUUAACGUAUAUUUAAGAUCAUAUUGUUUCAACAAGCCCUUUUCUUUUCUUGAAACCUAUCAUGGCUGUUAUCCUCUCUACUAACCAAAUCCUUUUGGACAGCUUUUCCCGAAGUUGAAGAUUCUUCGUCUCAUGCAUUGCAAGAAGUUAGAGAGAAUUCCUCACUGUUCUCUAUACCCAAAUUUAGUUCAUUUGCAACUUCCUGGUUGCUCCAACCUCAAGGAACUGCCAGAUUCGCUAGGCUCACUAGAAAACCUCAAGGAGUUGAAUCUCGAUUUUUGUUCAAACUUGGUGGAGAUUCCUAAAUCCAUAGGCCUUUUACAUAAUUUAGUUCAUUUGCAACUUACUCGUUGCUUCAACCUCAAGGAACUGCCAGAUUCGCUAGGCUCACUAGCAAACCUCAAGGAGUUGAAUCUUAAUUGUUGUUCAAACUUGGUGGAGAUUCCUAAAUCCAUAGGCCUUUUACAUAAUUUAGUUCAUUUGCAACUUACUCAUUGCUUCAACCUCAAGGAACUGCCAGAUUCGCUAGGCUCACUAGCAAACCUCAAGGAGUUGGAUCUGUCUGCGUGCGAGAGCCUCAGUAGACUCCCAACAUCAAUGGAAAGGAUGAGGUCACUACGCCAUCUAAGAAUGGAGAGAUGUGC
Molecule: long non-coding RNA, 654 nt
Filed under: Amborella trichopoda
Lineage: Eukaryota; Viridiplantae; Streptophyta; Magnoliopsida; Amborellales; Amborellaceae
Description: long non-coding RNA (ATRI_LNC004459)
Source: RNAcentral